This 460-nucleotide ribosomal RNA is filed under the name uncultured bacterium. RNAcentral's name for it is "partial 16S ribosomal RNA". It matches the Rfam family "Bacterial small subunit ribosomal RNA", at positions 338 to 795 of the family's 1533-position model. The record is from RNAcentral.
CCUACGGGAGGCAGCAGUGAGGAAUAUUGGUCAAUGGCCGGAAGGCUGAACCGGCCAUGCCGCGUGAAGGUCAGUGCCCUAUGGGCGUUAAACUUCUUUUGUGCGGGAGCAAUAAUGGUCACGUGUGGCCAGACGAGAGUACCGUACGAAUAAGCAUCGGCUAACUCCGUGCCAGCAGCCGCGGUAAUACGGGGGAUGCAAGCGUUAUCCGGAUUUAUUGGGUUUAAAGGGUGCGUAGGCUGUGAGGUAAGUCAGCGGUGAAAUGCCCCCGCUCAACGGGGUGAAGUGCCAUUGAUACUGCCUGGCUGGAAUGCGGAUGCCGUGGGAGGAAUGUGUGGUGUAGCGGUGAAAUGCAUAGAUAUCACACAGAACACCGAUUGCGAAGGCAUCUCACGAAUCCGCGAUUGACGCUGAUGCACGAAAGCGUGGGUAUCAAACAGGAUUAGAUACCCGGGUAGUC